This is a long non-coding RNA of Gasterosteus aculeatus aculeatus (three-spined stickleback), 1588 nucleotides long. The record is from Ensembl. NCBI's taxonomy places the organism in Eukaryota, Metazoa, Chordata, Actinopteri, Perciformes, Gasterosteidae.
GCAGCUCGAAGCCCGCGAGAUCGCUGCGCCAGGACUCGGUUUCAUGCUAAAUAAAGCGACCACAACAACAACAACAACAGGGGGGCGGGGGCACCAACUGGAAAUAUCGCCCCCUUCUACUUUUGCCUGAGGGUUUUAUAGACAUCGAUGCGCGUAAACCGUGGACCCGGACGGGUCGUAGCGCCGCGACAUGCUGACCGAAGUCCACGUCCCGACACGGGGGGAGUCCGACACAAAGUGAGCCGGCUCUCCCUCUCUGAUCCCCCUAAAACGAGGAUCACCUCCAGCCUGCAGCCGGGCACCCGGAUCCCGAACGUCCUCGGGUGUUGCACACAAGUUUGAAGCUGAGCUGUGAACACUGUCGCGCAGCUGCUGAGGUUUCAAAGAGAAUUGGAAUUCUAAAUGUUCACGGUGUCUCGUUUUUUCUUUUUCUCAAUGUGGAUAUCCCCAAAAUCCUGCGCAAAUUGUGAUAAAAGCCUGCCAUGGGGGUGCAAACAUGACGAGGUGAAACGCUGCCGGGUGUUUCACUGGUUAAGCUUCCACAGCAGCCGUGAGUCGGACCGGAUGUCUGAAAGAUGACACUUGGGACGAAAGCCCUUCCCGGCAAAUGCAAUGCAUUGAUUUCCGCCAUUGCCCACAUUGUAAAUAACUCUUGUGGAUAUAUUUAGUUUGUAUGGACCACGAUGCUAUUGUGCUGUCCUGGGUGUGUGCUUUUUCUCCCCCUUCUCCCCACCGCUUGGACCUUUCACAGCGGCGGUGCAGCUUAGAUUCUAAAAGACCAUGAACACAUCGACCUCUGUACCGCACCUUUUCCUGCUUCCUCCAAUCGAUUGAUUCUCUGAGCGUGCGCAAAGGGAAGAUGGACCCGGGCAUGAAACUGAAUGGACUGGGAAUGUGUGUGGGAAGGAACGCUGGGGGAAUAACGAGUGGCACUGUGGAAGACGCGGUGCAGAAUGUUGCAGGCUUAAAGGCUGCAAGGGAAAGAAUUACCUUUGGCUGUGAGAAAACUUGUCUUUUCUCUGCUGCGGGACCAACUACUGGAUGGGAAUCCGCACUCACCAUUUGAAUUGAGAAGCUCCCCCUGUUGCGCUGCGGGAUAUCCACCCGGCACCCCUGAAAGUUAUUUCGUUGUGUACCCUUAUCUUGGAUUGCUGCUUUGCUGUUUCUCAGAAGUGUCUCUUUGGAGGGGACUCUUCCUAUUUGAAGUCAGAGAACAGUAAGUUUACAAACCCCCCCCCCGCCCGUUUUUAGUGUGAGCGCACCUCGGUGUGUCUUCCUGAAUGAGAGUGUUCCCGGUCGACCAUCGGAGUGCGUCUAGAGACUGACCUCCCGUUGCCGCGGCGAUGGGGAGCUCGGCCUCGUCUCUCACCGCGGAGACCGAGUCGGACCACGGCUUCCGCAGCGCCUCGUACCCGUCGCCCCCCCCCGUGGGCUGGCUCAGGAACAGCCACAGCAGCCCGGUGUGGGGCACCACCUUCAUCGCCCGGCAGCAGCAGCAGCAGCAGCAGCCGCUGCCUCACCGCGAGCGCAGCGGACUCACACACAUACGUCUAGCAACGCGCCUCGACCACCAGUCAGACUCCACCCG